UUCCACGUGUCUUGUUUUGUUUUUAUUUAUUUUGGAUUUUUUUCUUCGUUUGAAUUUUUCUUUGGUUUGUUAAUAACCACCCGAGUCCUAAGCAUGUAUGGACUCAUGCGUAUCUUUUGGUUGUUACUUUGCAUUUUAUAAAUAAAGAGAAAAAAGGCUCAGUGUUGCACACAGCAACAAAAAACAAAAAAAAACAAAUCUCCCUUCUCUCUUCUAUCCCACAAAAUCAUCUCGUUCAAUCAUUUUCUUUUUAUCAAUUUUAUUUUUUUUCAAAAUGAAAAAUCAGAAAAACAAAUGCAUGCACUCUUGAUGAUUUUCUAACAAAGAAGGAGGUCUGCAUUUGCGGUAUAUAGGCUGCCUUCGGGUCUUUGGAGAUGUAAUCGGGUCGAAGAUUUGGUAACUUCCGAGCAUUUUUAUGCUCUCUUUGCUGUUUCUUCUUUUUUGUUCUUCUUCAUUCUUCUUCCAUGGCAGACGAGACACACUCUGGUACUGCUACUUUUUGUUUUGGUCGAUAUGAACCUUACCUUGUGAAAUAUUAUAUAAGGUCCUUAAUGUGUAUAUCACACUCUCGUUUGUGGUAAAUUACAAUUGUGCCAUCACCUUCCUUCUUAAAAACACUUUUGAAGAGAAGACAGGUCGUCUCCAUGCCGAGAUGAAAGAACCCUGGUUUCACCUCACAGUGAUAGAAAACAGAGCAUACAACUUCGAUAGUGAUAUUGGACCUGAUCUUCUCAGCCAUGGCGGAUUAAUCUAUAUGGUUACAGGAAUCUGUGAUGGAAAAGCUUGAGGAGAGGAAGACGGAGAUCCGGCUUCAGACUCGAGCCUUGGGACCAAAAUGCGCUGUCUCUUUCCUUGGGGGUCGCUUUUACAAGAAUGGAAGAAAUAUGUGGUCGAAGUAAAAGUCAUGCAUGGUCCAACAUGAGUGACUUGAGAUAAUCAUCAAGACCGGGAAGACGAUGGUCAUCGUCGUAAGUGUACAUAAGGGGAA
This is a long non-coding RNA of Tarenaya hassleriana, 988 nucleotides long. RefSeq lists it as uncharacterized. NCBI's taxonomy places the organism in Eukaryota, Viridiplantae, Streptophyta, Magnoliopsida, Brassicales, Cleomaceae. The transcript is spliced from 3 exons. The record is from RefSeq and is a predicted model, not a curated record.